CAGGCGUGAGGCAACAAAUGGUCCAAGUAACAACUGAGAACAAAAUAAUCUGUAAUCUGAUCUAAUUCUGGCCAAACACCCUGAGGGGACAAUAAAAGCCCCUUUGCUGCUUGUAGUUGAAGCCAUUUGUGACGAUCCAGACCCAAAUGAGGUCAGGAGGGUGGACGGACACUAAAGGGGCUUCACAGCUUCACAGCUUUGUAAAAAUCCUCAGAUUAGACUCAACUAUUGCCUGAAGGACAAUCAAAAAAUGUUCCAAAAAAAGAAAAAAAAUGAUGUCGACUUCUUGAAAACAGAGUUUCACCAAACUCUGAGCUCUUGAUAGUUCUUCUCGGUUCAACUGGACUGGUUUAGCUCUUUUGAAAACAUUUCGUCUAUCAUCUAAGAGACUUCUUCAAGUGGAAGAAGCUGGACUUAUAAAACCUGAUGAUGACGAGGAUGAGGAUGAGGAUGAGAGACGAAAUGUUUUCAAAAGAGCUAAACCGGUCCAGAUGAACCAAGAAGAACCACUAAUAAGAAUGAUGACCUGGACACAAACACCAACCUCUGAGCAUUUUUAACCAACAUCAAAUGGUGCCUUGUUAUCGUUGGUUAACAUGAAAAAUUCACUGGAAAAGCAUGACUCUGCAAUGAUGAAGUGUUUCCCAAAUAAUUAACCACAGUUCUCGGGACUCUCACGGUCAAUUUCGGGCAACGACAAUGUGCGACGCAGAUGUGAGUCCGGUUUAAAGUUGCGAGCACAUAUUCUGUGAAGGACUUCUUACGAUUUGUCUUUUUGCACAAACAAGAAUCGAGCUGGAAUGUACAGCUUUGAUUUUAACACCUCGUUCUGGUGUCACGAUCGAAUCCCGAAGACAGGACUGGAGUUUUUUCCCAUGUGACUGUUGUUAUUUGCUUCAUUUGUACUCGAGCUUUCAUUUCCUGUCAAGUGGGAUUUGUCUUGUAGUCGUUUGUCAUGGUUUUAUUGUGUGUAAAAGUCUGUUUGUAAGCCGAUGUUUGUUUUUAGUUGAAUCUCAUGUGGUUCCUCUCAGUAUUCGUGCAUAUUCAUUGAAGGAAUUCCUGCAAACCAGACACAGAGUAGGGUGAAAUAAAGAGAUCGAACCAUUUCUCUGGAACUGCACAAAGGUUAGAGAAGUGCCAGGAAAGAAGGGGUUGGAGACGUAAAGAGGACGAACUGAGGGGAUUUUUUUUUUUCCCCUUCUUCUAAUGAGUGCAUGACGAGGAAGAUUUGGGAAAACCGUGGGUAUGAUUCAGAGGAGGUGGGUGAGAUGAGCUUCAGUCUGGUUGUAAUUAUGGAGGAAAAGCCUGGGAGCCACAGCGCCGGGUUUUGGUGGACGCAGCCUCGCAUUCCUGCGGCGGCGAGCGUCGAGUCGGGUCGGAUCGGGGUGAACGCCUGUGAUGUCUGCAGCAUCUCGGAGGAGAUUUUGUUUACGCUCCGAGGAAAAAAUUCUGAGCCAAACCAUGAAGGUCAGAGGUCAAAGGCAGCUCAUCUUCGAGCAGGGGAUGGAAAACCUUCUCCGAUGGUUCAAGGUGAAUUUAGAUGCAAAACUGCCAAAGGAUCAAAAGUGCAAG
Long non-coding RNA from Sphaeramia orbicularis (orbiculate cardinalfish), 1572 nucleotides. RefSeq lists it as uncharacterized. The transcript is spliced from 3 exons. NCBI's taxonomy places the organism in Eukaryota, Metazoa, Chordata, Actinopteri, Kurtiformes, Apogonidae. The record is from RefSeq and is a predicted model, not a curated record.